CAUUACCAUGACAAACGAGUUUGCGUUCGCCCUCGGGCGUUCGUCCUCUCAAACCCUUUGUGAACCAAAAAAACAUCAGCUUCGGUAGCAGGCCGGUCUCGGGUGAAACCGGUCCGCGUCGUCAGCCUACCGGUAGCAAACCAAACCAAACCUGUUUGUAAUAAUUCAGUCUGAAAUCAAAUUUUCGAAUGAAAAUUAAAACUUUCAACAACGGAUCUCUUGGUUCUCGCAUCGAUGAAGAACGCAGCGAAACGCGAUAGUUAAUGUGAAUUGCAGAAUUCAGUGAAUCAUCGAGUCUUUGAACGCACAUUGCGCCCUUUGGUAUUCCGAAGGGCACGUCUGUUUGAGCGUCAUUUCAACCCCUCGCCUCUCAGGUUUUGCCCUGACCGGACGGUCUUGAGCUCGGCUCGCUCCCUUAACCGGGAACGGGUUGGCUUUAAAGUUGAACGCUCUGCGGGUGUCUCGACCAAACCUAACAUAGUAAAAUCUUUUGCCUGUUUGGUGACGUCUUGCGCACUCCGCCUGAACAACAAACCAAUUUUCUCAGGUUUGACCUCAGAUCAGACGAGGAUACCCGCUGAACUUAAGCAUAUCAAUAAGCGGAGGAAAAGAAACCAACAGGGAUUGCCUCAGUAACGGCGAGUGAAGCGGCAACAGCUCAAAUUUGAAAUCUGGAGUCUUUGACUUUCGAGUUGUAAUUUGAAGAGGAUGCUUCGGUUGUGGCCUGGGCCUAAGUUCCUUGGAACAGGACGUCGUAGAGGGUGAGAAUCCCGUACACGGCUGCAGGCUUACUUCCAUGUGUAGCUCCUUCGAAGAGUCGAGUUGUUUGGGAAUGCAGCUCAAAAUGGGUGGUAAAUUUCAUCUAAAGCUAAAUAUUGGCGAGAGACCGAUAGCGCACAAGUAGAGUGAUCGAAAGAUGAAAAGCACUUUGAAAAGAGAGUUAAACAGUACGUGAAAUUGUUGAAAGGGAAGCGCUUGCAAUCAGACUUGCUUUCAGUUGAUCAACGUUCCUUUUGGUUCGUGCACUCUGCUGUCUGCAGGCCAGCAUCAGUUGGAGCGGUGGGACAAAGACUCUGGGAAUGUGGCUUCCUUCGGGAAGUGUUAUAGCCCAGUGUGUAAUGCCACCUGCACCGAUUGAGGUCCGCGCUUUUGCUAGGAUGCUGGCUUAAUGGUUGUAAGCGACCCGUCUUGAAACACGGACCAAGGAGUCUAACAUCUAUGCGAGUGUUUGGGUGUCAAACCCAUACGCGAAAUGAAAGUGAACGGAGGUGGGAGUCUUCGGAUGCACCAUCGACCGAUCCUGAUGUUCUCGGAUGGAUUUGAGUAGGAGCAUAGCUGUUGGGACCCGAAAGAUGGUGAACUAUGCCUGAAUAGGGUGAAGCCAGAGGAAACUCUGGUGGAGGCUCGCAGCGGUUCUGACGUGCAAAUCGAUCGUCAAAUUUGGGUAUAGGGGCGAAAGACUAAUCGAACCAUCUAGUAGCUGGUUCCUGCCGA
RNAcentral lists this ribosomal RNA (1494 nucleotides) under Orbilia poitevinica. Its description in RNAcentral is "eukaryotic LSU rRNA". The stretch from base 551 to 1494 matches the Rfam family "Eukaryotic large subunit ribosomal RNA", at positions 1 to 964 of the family's 3401-position model. The record is from RNAcentral. Lineage: Eukaryota; Fungi; Ascomycota; Orbiliomycetes; Orbiliales; Orbiliaceae.